This 582-nucleotide long non-coding RNA is filed under the name Setaria viridis. RNAcentral's name for it is "long non-coding RNA (SVIR_LNC010449)". Lineage: Eukaryota; Viridiplantae; Streptophyta; Magnoliopsida; Poales; Poaceae. The record is from RNAcentral.
GGCAGGGAGGCCACCUGCCUGCUGCUGCGUGUGCAUGGAACCCUGGACACCGCAUCUUCUGGUGAGUUUGUUGGACACGAUCAUGGGGAAGACGGGGUUGAUUCGUUUGUGAAUUUGUGUGGUUGGGUGAUUAUUGUUGCUAGUGCUACAUACUAUUGAAACGUUAAUCAUGCCUAUGGUUUUUGUUCUCUCAUUUACCCGUGUUGACGCCGAAUUUUGACACGUGUUUGGGUCGGCGUCAAAGGAGAGGAAGGUGGCCGACACGGCGAGCAAGAAGCUACAGUUGGGAAUCGGCCGAUUAGAGCUACAGUGUUUCGGCCGAUCGGCUGAAGGAGCCAAAGUGACUGGGCCGAUGUGGGCCUAAAGUGGGCCAGGGUGAUGAUUAGCUGAAGGAAAAAGAUUGGCCCGUGGGAAAAUAAUAACAAACUCCGAUACGGGUUGCGUACAUUUGUAAAUAUUUAUCUUUAAAAUUAGAAAUAGAUUCUAGUCGGUUAGGAAAUCGGUUGUAACAGGGUAUAAAUAGCUGCCUCGUAAGACUUGUAAACAACAACACAUCAAUCAAUACAAAAAAUCUACUUUUUU